This is a non-coding RNA of Vicugna pacos (alpaca), 280 nucleotides long. Lineage: Eukaryota; Metazoa; Chordata; Mammalia; Artiodactyla; Camelidae. The record is from RefSeq and is a predicted model, not a curated record.
UGGGACUGGCAGACGUGAGACAGACACCAAACACUUCACUUCCUCUUUUCUCUGGGACCUUUGACCCAUUGGGCCCUUCGUGAGGUGGGGCCUUAGCCAGGCAUCAGGGAUUCAGGACUGGAUAGCAAGCAGUUUCUGCUGAUGAGAAAACUGAGGUCCAGGGAAGUUGGGCUUUGCUCAAGGUCAAGCAGCUAAAGAGCACCAGAGAACGCGCCUACUACCGCAGCCAGCGGCCCAGCCUCGAGGAGGAGCCGGAGGAGGAGCCAGGCGAGGGCGGGAC